This 205-nucleotide ribosomal RNA is filed under the name uncultured bacterium. RNAcentral's name for it is "partial 16S ribosomal RNA". It matches the Rfam family "Bacterial small subunit ribosomal RNA", at positions 1298 to 1500 of the family's 1533-position model. The record is from RNAcentral.
UUGUAGUCUGCAACUCGACUACAUGAAGCUGGAAUCGCUAGUAAUCGCGGAUCAGAAUGCCGCGGUGAAUACGUUCCCGGGUCUUGUACACACCGCCCGUCACACCAUGGGAGUCAGUAACGCCCGAAGCCGGUGACCCAACCUAUUCUGGAGGGAGCCGUCGAAGGCGGGACGGAUGACUGGGGUGAAGUCGUAACAAGGUAUC